Molecule: non-coding RNA, 103 nt
Filed under: Palpitomonas bilix
Lineage: Eukaryota
Source: RNAcentral
AGGGAGGACGGGAGUGCGCACAGCAAAAGCGGGGAGAAAAAAAAAAAAAAAAAAGGCGCCUAUUUUUAUUGUUCUUUCCUCUCUCUCUCUCUCUCUCUCUCUC